GACGAACGCUGGCGGCGUGCUUAAUACAUGCAAGUCAACUGAACUUGAGGUAGCAAUAUCACAAGAGAGGUGGCGCACGGGUGAGUAACACGUAGGUAAUCUGCCUUUAGGUCUGACAUAAUUCCGCGAAAGCGGGACUAAUAUCAGAUGAUGCAGCGGCUCGACAUCGAGACAGUUGUUAAACCUUCGGGGCCUAAAGAUGAGCCUGCGUCUGAUUAGGUAGUUGGCGGAGUAAAAGCCCACCAAGCCUGCGAUCAGUAGCUGGUCUGAGAGGAUGAUCAGCCACACUGGAACUGAGACACGGUCCAGACUCCUACGGGAGGCAGCAGUAAGGAAUAUUGCUCAAUGGCCGAAAGGCUGAAGCAGCAACGCCGCGUGGAGGAUGAAAUACUUUUGUAUGUAAACUCCUGUAAG
RNAcentral lists this ribosomal RNA (414 nucleotides) under uncultured bacterium. RNAcentral describes it as "bacterial SSU rRNA". It matches the Rfam family "Bacterial small subunit ribosomal RNA", at positions 28 to 439 of the family's 1533-position model. The record is from RNAcentral.